This 700-nucleotide ribosomal RNA is filed under the name uncultured bacterium. RNAcentral describes it as "bacterial SSU rRNA". It matches the Rfam family "Bacterial small subunit ribosomal RNA", at positions 42 to 788 of the family's 1533-position model. The record is from RNAcentral.
UCAGGCCUAACACAUGCAAGUCGAGCGCGCCCUUCGGGGUGAGCGGCGGACGGGUUAGUAACGCGUGGGAAUAUACCCUUUGGUACGGAAUAGCCUCUGGAAACGGAGAGUAAUACCGUAUGAGCCCUUCGGGGGAAAGAUUUAUCGCCAAAGGAUUAGCCCGCGUUAGAUUAGGUAGUUGGUGGGGUAAUGGCCUACCAAGCCUACGAUCUAUAGCUGGUUUUAGAGGAUGAUCAGCAACACUGGGACUGAGACACGGCCCAGACUCCUACGGGAGGCAGCAGUGGGGAAUCUUGGACAAUGGGGGCAACCCUGAUCCAGCCAUGCCGCGUGAGUGAUGAAGGCCUUAGGGUCGUAAAGCUCUUUCGCCUGUGAAGAUAAUGACGGUAGCAGGUAAAGAAACCCCGGCUAACUCCGUGCCAGCAGCCGCGGUAAUACGGAGGGGGUUAGCGUUGUUCGGAAUUACUGGGCGUAAAGCGCACGUAGGCGGAUCGGAAAGUUGGGGGUGAAAUCCCGGGGCUCAACCCCGGAACUGCCUCCAAAACUAUCGGUCUAGAGUUCGAGAGAGGUGAGUGGAAUUCCGAGUGUAGAGGUGAAAUUCGUAGAUAUUCGGAGGAACACCAGUGGCGAAGGCGGCUCACUGGCUCGAUACUGACGCUGAGGUGCGAAAGUGUGGGGAGCAAACAGGAUUAGAUACCCU